GGCGGCGGCUUACCAUGCAAGUCGAGCGGGGAAGGUAGCUUGCUACCUAACCUAGCGGCGGACGGGUGAGUAAUGCUUAGGAAUCUGCCUAUUAGUGGGGGACAACAUCUCGAAAGGGAUGCUAAUACCGCAUACGUCCUACGGGAGAAAGCAGGGGACCUUCGGGCCUUGCGCUAAUAGAUGAGCCUAAGUCGGAUUAGCUAGUUGGUGGGGUAAAGGCCUACCAAGGCGACGAUCUGUAGCGGGUCUGAGAGGAUGAUCCGCCACACUGGGACUGAGACACGGCCCAGACUCCUACGGGAGGCAGCAGUGGGGAAUAUUGGACAAUGGGGGGAACCCUGAUCCAGCCAUGCCGCGUGUGUGAAGAAGGCCUUUUGGUUGUAAAGCACUUUAAGCGAGGAGGAGGCUACCGAGAUUAAUACUCUUGGAUAGUGGACGUUACUCGCAGAAUAAGCACCGGCUAACUCUGUGCCAGCAGCCGCGGUAAUACAGAGGGUGCAAGCGUUAAUCGGAUUUACUGGGCGUAAAGCGCGCGUAGGUGGCCAAUUAAGUCAAAUGUGAAAUCCCCGAGCUUAACUUGGGAAUUGCAUUCGAUACUGGUUGGCUAGAGUAUGGGAGAGGGAUGGUAGAAUUCCAGGUGUAGCGGUGAAAUGCGUAGAGAUCUGGAGGAAUACCGAUGGCGAAGGCAGCCAUCUGGCCUAAUACUGACACUGAGGUGCGAAAGCAUGGGGAGCAAACAGGAUUAGAUACCCUGGUAGUC
Molecule: ribosomal RNA, 760 nt
Filed under: Acinetobacter lwoffii
Lineage: Bacteria; Pseudomonadati; Pseudomonadota; Gammaproteobacteria; Moraxellales; Moraxellaceae
Also listed under: 1 other name
Description: bacterial SSU rRNA
Rfam family: Bacterial small subunit ribosomal RNA
Source: RNAcentral